GGUUCAGUGGUCUAAUGGUUAUGAUUUUCGUCUCACAUGCAAAUGUCCACGAAAGGUUCCCGGUUCGAUCCCGGGCUGAACCA
This is a non-coding RNA of Schizophyllum commune H4-8, 83 nucleotides long. The record is from Rfam. NCBI's taxonomy places the organism in Eukaryota, Fungi, Basidiomycota, Agaricomycetes, Agaricales, Schizophyllaceae.